This 273-nucleotide ribosomal RNA is filed under the name uncultured bacterium. Its description in RNAcentral is "partial 16S ribosomal RNA". It matches the Rfam family "Bacterial small subunit ribosomal RNA", at positions 524 to 796 of the family's 1533-position model. The record is from RNAcentral.
UACGGAGGGUGCGAGCGUUGUCCGGAAUCACUGGGCGUAAAGGGCGCGUAGGUGGCAGCGUAAGCGUGUGGUGAAAGCUCGGGGCUCAACCCCGCGUCGGCCAUGCGAACUGCGUUGCUCGAGCACUGUAGAGGCAGACGGAAUUCCGGGUGUAGCGGUGGAAUGCGUAGAGAUCCGGAAGAACACCGGUGGCGAAGGCGGUCUGCUGGGCAGUUGCUGACACUGAGGCGCGACAGCGUGGGGAGCAAACAGGAUUAGAUACCCUUGUAGUCC